UACGUAGGGUGCAAGCGUUGCCCGGAUUUAUUGGGCGUAAAGGGCGCGCAGGCGGCCCGGCGCGUCCGCGGUGAAAGCUCCCGGCUCAACUGGGAGAGGUCCGCGGAAACGGUCGGGCUGGAGCAAGGUAGGGGGUCGUGGAAUUCCCGGUGUAGUGGUGGAAUGCGUAGAGAUCGGGAGGAACACCAGUGGCGAAGGCGGCGACCUGGACCUGUGCUGACGCUGAGGCGCGAAAGCGUGGGGAGCGAACCGG
This 253-nucleotide ribosomal RNA is filed under the name uncultured bacterium. RNAcentral describes it as "partial 16S ribosomal RNA". It matches the Rfam family "Bacterial small subunit ribosomal RNA", at positions 524 to 776 of the family's 1533-position model. The record is from RNAcentral.